AGGAGCCGGAUGAGCGGAGACGUUCACGUCCGGUUCUGUGAGAGCCUGCGGGGGUGGUUCCCGUGGGCUACUCGAC
This 76-nucleotide non-coding RNA is filed under the name Thiothrix caldifontis. The record is from RNAcentral. Lineage: Bacteria; Pseudomonadati; Pseudomonadota; Gammaproteobacteria; Thiotrichales; Thiotrichaceae.